RNAcentral lists this ribosomal RNA (421 nucleotides) under uncultured Bacteroidales bacterium. RNAcentral's name for it is "bacterial SSU rRNA". It matches the Rfam family "Bacterial small subunit ribosomal RNA", at positions 356 to 774 of the family's 1533-position model. The record is from RNAcentral. Lineage: Bacteria; Pseudomonadati; Bacteroidota; Bacteroidia; Bacteroidales.
GAGGAAUAUUGGUCAAUGGACGCAAGUCUGAACCAGCCACGUCGCGUGAAGGAAGACGGCCCUACGGGUUGUAAACUUCUUUUAUACGGGAAUAAAGUGCCCCACGUGGGGGGUUUUGCAUGUACCGUAUGAAUAAGGAUCGGCUAACGCCGUGCCAGCAGCCGCGGUAAUACGGAGGAUCCGAGCGUUAUCCGGAUUUAUUGGGUUUAAAGGGUGCUCAGGCGGGGGGUUAAGUCGGCGGUGAAAUUUUGCAGCUCAACUGUAAAAGUGCCUUCGAAACUGGUCGUCUUGAGUGCAGUAAAGGUGGGCGGAAUUCGUGGUGUAGCGGUGAAAUGCUUAGAUAUCACGAAGAACUCCAAUUGCGAAGGCAGCUCACUGGAGUGUAACUGACGCUGAUGCUCGAAAGUGUGGGUAUCAAACA